This 241-nucleotide unclassified non-coding RNA is filed under the name plant metagenome. RNAcentral's name for it is "partial contains small subunit ribosomal RNA, internal transcribed spacer 1, and 5.8S ribosomal RNA". The stretch from base 193 to 241 matches the Rfam family "5.8S ribosomal RNA", at positions 1 to 49 of the family's 154-position model. The record is from RNAcentral.
UCUCCGUAGGUGAACCUGCGGAAGGAUCAUUACAGAGUUCGUGCCCUCGCGGGUAGAUCUCCCACCCUGUGUUAUUGCUACCUUUGUUGCUUUGGCGGGCCGCCCUGGGCUACCGGCCCCGGCUGGUACGCGCCCGCCAGAGGACCCCAAACCCUGAACGUCAGUGUCGUCUGAGUACUAUACAAUAGUUAAAACUUUCAACAACGGAUCUCUUGGUUCUGACAUCGAUGAAGAACGCAGC